UUCAGUUUUACUGAAAGUGACGGGCGAUAUGUGCAUUUAAAAUUUCUUUUUAAAUUUUUUAUUUUUUAUAAUAAAAUUUAUUUUUAAAUCCUUUUUUGCUAUAAUCUUUAUAUUACUCUAUAAAAAUUUUUAUUGUAUUCCAUUUUUACUUUUAUUUAUUUUUUGUCUUGAUUUGUUUUGUAAUUAUUUUAUUAAAAAGAAAAUAAAUUUUUAUUUUUUCUUUAAAACAAUGAUAUGAAAAAUUAUAAAAAAAGUCUCCUUAAUCGUGGGUUAUCGAUUAUAAAACAGAAUCCUCUAAAUAGAUUUUAAACCGCCAUUUUUGUUAGAUUUUUCUUUAUAUAGUUACUAUCUUUUUUUAGUUUAGAA
Molecule: ribosomal RNA, 366 nt
Filed under: Diptacus sp. M8
Lineage: Eukaryota; Metazoa; Arthropoda; Arachnida; Trombidiformes; Diptilomiopidae
Description: partial small subunit ribosomal RNA
Source: RNAcentral